Molecule: ribosomal RNA, 274 nt
Filed under: uncultured bacterium
Lineage: Bacteria
Description: partial 16S ribosomal RNA
Rfam family: Bacterial small subunit ribosomal RNA
Source: RNAcentral
AUACGGAUGGUGCGAGCGUUGUUCGGAAUUACUGGGCGUAAAGGGCGCGUAGGCGGCGAUGUAAGUCAAAUGUGAAAGUCCUCGGCUUAACCGGGGAAGUGCAUCUGAAACUGCAUUACUUGAGUAUGGGAGAGGAAAGUGGAAUUCCCGGUGUAGAGGUGAAAUUCGUAGAGAUCGGGAGGAAUACCGGUGGCGAAGGCGACUUUCUGGACCAAUACUGACGCUGAGGCGCGAAAGCGUGGGGAGCAAACAGGAUUAGAAACCCUAGUAGUCC